AACGAACGCUGGCGGCGUGGCUAAGGCAUGCAAGUCGUACGGUUUCGUUGCUGGGGUAACCCGGCUUCGAGAUAGUGGCGAAAGGGACAGUACAAAAUAGGUAACGUACCCCGAACACAGGGAUAACCUGUCGAAAGGCGGGGUAAUACCUGAUGAAACUCCAGAAGGUAUCUUCGGGAGUCAAAGGGUGGGGACCGCAAGGCCUGUCGGUUUGGGAGCGACCUAUUUCCUAUCAGUUAGUUGGUGGGGUAAAGGCCUACCAAGACGAUGACGGGUAGCCGGCCUGAGAGGGUGUUCGGCGUCACUGGGACUGAGACACUGCCCAGAGCCCUACGGGGUGCAGCAGCCGCGAAUCAUCCGCAAUGCGCGCAAGCGUGACGGUGCGACGCCGCGUGCGGGAUUAAGCCCUUCGGGGUGUAAACCGCUUUUCGGAGGUAUGAAGCGACCGGGGUGAACAGCCUCGGAAGUUGACGUCAACUCUGGAAUAAGUCACGGCUAACUCUGUGCCAGCAGCCGCGGUAAGACAGAGGUGGCAAGCGUUGUUCGGAAUUACUGGGCUUAAAGGGCGCGUAGGCGGUCCGGAAAGUCAGGAGUGAAAUCCCUCGGCUCAACCGAGGAACUGCUUUUGAUACUAUCGGACUUGAGCGGUUCAGGGGCGAGUGGAACUCUGGGUGGAGCGGUGAAAUGCGUAGAUAUCCAGAGGAACGCCGGAGGUGAAGACGGCUCGCUGGGGACCUGCUGACGCUGAGGCGCGAAAGUUAGGGUAGCGAACGGGAUUAGAUACCCCGGUAGUCCUAACCGUAAACGAUGUGCACUAGGCAUUGGGAGUUCUGACGCCUUCAGUGCCGUAGCGAAAGCGAUAAGUGCACCGCCUGGGGAGUACGGUCGCAAGGCUAAAACUCAAAGGAAUUGACGGGGGCUCACACAAGCGGUGGAGCAUGUGGCUCAAUUCGAAGCAACGCGCAGAACCUUAUCCUGGGCUUGACAUGCAGGAAGUAGGGAGCUGAAAGGCCGACCACCAGUAUCCAGUCUGGAACCUGCACAGGUGCUGCAUGGCUGUCGUCAGCUCGUGCUGUGAGGUGUCGGGUUAAGUCCCAUAACGAGCGGAACCCUUGUCGUUAGUUGCCAGCGCGUAAUGGCGGGAACUCUAACGAGACUGCCGGUGUUAAACCGGAGGAAGGUGGGGACGACGUCAAGUCAUCAUGGCCUUUAUGCCCAGGGCUGCACACGUGCUACAAUGGCGGGUACAACGGGUCGCGAAGCCGCGAGGCGGAGCAAAUCCCUUAAAACUCGCCCCAGUUCGGAUUGCAGGCUGCAACUCGCCUGCAUGAAGUUGGAAUCGCUAGUAAUCGCGGAUCAGCUACGCCGCGGUGAAUGUGUUCCUGAGCCUUGUACACACCGCCCGUCAAGCCACGGAAGCCGGGGGCACCCGAAGUCGUUUGCCUAACCCUUACGGGAGGGCGGCGCCGACGGUGAACCUGGUGACUGGGACU
Molecule: ribosomal RNA, 1493 nt
Filed under: uncultured bacterium
Lineage: Bacteria
Description: bacterial SSU rRNA
Rfam family: Bacterial small subunit ribosomal RNA
Source: RNAcentral